UACAGGGGGUGCAAACGUUGCUCGGAAUUAUUGGGCGUAAAGCGCGCGUAGGCGGCCACUUAAGUCGGAUGUGAAAGCCCCUGGCUCAACUGGGGAAGUGCACCCGAAACUGAGCGGCUUGAAUGCAAAAGGGGGUCGCGGAAUUCCCGGUGUAGAGGUGAAAUUCGUAGAUAUCGGGAGGAACAUCUGUGGCGAAGGCGACACCCUGGACCAGCACUGACACUGAGGCACGAAAGCGUGGGGAGCAAACAGG
Molecule: ribosomal RNA, 253 nt
Filed under: uncultured bacterium
Lineage: Bacteria
Description: partial 16S ribosomal RNA
Rfam family: Bacterial small subunit ribosomal RNA
Source: RNAcentral